Octopus sinensis (East Asian common octopus) is the source of this 232-nucleotide long non-coding RNA. RefSeq lists it as uncharacterized. Lineage: Eukaryota; Metazoa; Mollusca; Cephalopoda; Octopoda; Octopodidae. The transcript is spliced from 3 exons. The record is from RefSeq and is a predicted model, not a curated record.
UUUACAAUAAGGAAAAUAAGGAGGGUGAAGAUAAUAAUGACAGCACUGGUACUGGUGAUAACAACAAUGUUAGUGAUGAUGAUAUCAAUAUCACUGAUAAACUUCAAUUCUUUGAAAAAUGAGUGGUUGAUAAAAUAAAGUUCCAACCUAGAAAAUGGAGUUGAUGGCAUCAGCUAACCCCUUUCCUCUCAAAAUUGCUAAACUAGUGCCUGGAUAAAAAAUGUAUUCUGUU